Molecule: ribosomal RNA, 494 nt
Filed under: uncultured bacterium
Lineage: Bacteria
Description: bacterial SSU rRNA
Rfam family: Bacterial small subunit ribosomal RNA
Source: RNAcentral
AGAGUUGAUCCGUGGCUCAGGACGAACGCUGGCGGCGUGCUUAACACAUGCAAGUCGAGCGAUGAAGCUUCUUCGGAAGUGGAUUAGCGGCGGACGGGUGAGUAACACGUGGGUAACCUGCCUCAUAGAGGGGAAUAGCCUCCCGAAAGGAAGAUUAAUACCGCAUAAGAUUGUAAUAUCGCAUGAUAUAGCAAUUAAAGGAGCAAUCCGCUAUGAGAUGGACCCGCGUCGCAUUAGCUAGUUGGUGAGGUAACGGCUCACCAAGGCGACGAUGCGUAGCCGACCUGAGAGGGUGAUCGGCCACAUUGGGACUGAGACACGGCCCAGACUCCUACGGGAGGCAGCAGUGGGGAAUAUUGCACAAUGGGGGAAACCCUGAUGCAAGCAACGCCGCGUAAGUGAUGACGGUCUUCGGAUUGUAAAGCUCUGUCUUCAGGGACGAUAAUGACGGUACCUGAGGAGGAAGCCACGGCUAACUACGUGCCAGCAGCCGC